UGGGGAAUAUUGCGCAAUGGGCGCAAGCCUGAUGCAGCGACGCCGCGUGAGGGAUGACGGCCUUCGGGUUGUAAACCUCUUUCGCUAGGGACGAAGCGUAAGUGACGGUACCUGGAGAAGAAGCACCGGCCAACUACGUGCCAGCAGCCGCGGUAAUACGUAGGGUGCGAGCGUUGUCCGGAAUUACUGGGCGUAAAGAGCUCGUAGGCGGUUUGUCGCGUCGUCUGUGAAAUUCUGCAACUCAAUUGCAGGCGUGCAGGCGAUACGGGCAGACUUGAGUACUACAGGGGAGACUGGAAUUCCUGGUGUAGCGGUGAAAUGCGCAGAUAUCAGGAGGAACACCGGUGGCGAAGGCGGGUCUCUGGGUAGUAACUGACGCUGAGGAGCGAAAGCGUGGGGAGCGAACAG
Molecule: ribosomal RNA, 408 nt
Filed under: uncultured bacterium
Lineage: Bacteria
Description: bacterial SSU rRNA
Rfam family: Bacterial small subunit ribosomal RNA
Source: RNAcentral